This 1996-nucleotide long non-coding RNA is filed under the name Mus musculus (house mouse). Its description in RNAcentral is "RIKEN cDNA 9530036M11 gene". Lineage: Eukaryota; Metazoa; Chordata; Mammalia; Rodentia; Muridae. The record is from RNAcentral.
AGUCUACUGUCCAACUCAUUUCGACUUAUUUGGACUUGGAAAGAAACACUUCUCAGUCUGCAAUGAGCCAUUCCAGACACUUGUCAAGUUGGACCAACUACAAGAAGGCUUUCCUCGAUUCAUUGCAACUUCCCAGAAAUACAGCCCUGGUCACACUCUCAAAAGAAAAUGCUUUUGCAGGGUCUCUAUGUGAGUGAUUUCUGGCCACUCAGACUUCACACAGAGAGAAAAAGACCCUCAACACACUCCCCCACCCCCACCUCCACCCUCAAGAGCAAGAACUUGCAGAGCAAUGAGCCUUGCCUAAAAAAGGAAGUAGUUGCUGAAGUUGGACGGAGAACGGUCAUGCAGAAAAUAUGGCUCAAACUGUUGCACUCUGAAGAGGACAGGGAGAGUCCUCUUCAUGAAGCCAUACAGACACAAGGCUUGUUUUAAAGAUUCACAGCGUGAAGCAAAACCUCAGCUAUAAUCCCAAUACUUUCAGGAGGACAAAACUGUGACUUUGAGACCAGCCCAAACUACAAUAAUUAUGAGGCUAGCCAAGGGCUAUGUGGCAAGCUCUCAUCCAAAACAAAAACAAACAACUCAAAUAAAACUGAUUCACCGGUUGCAACAUUAGAAUUCCAAACACUUCAGCGGCACCAUAGGCCCUAAUGGGCUCUGAGCCUACAGGGUACCAUUCACUUUUCUGCUUCAAACCUCUGCAGAUGCUGUGCCUGACAAUGAUGUGAUGCUAUCCAAGGCUGUUUCCUCAGAAGAUGCUGAUUUUUAAAACCUCCCCAUUCUGUGCAUUCUCUAGGAGUUAAAGGAAGCAAGAAAAUGAAAAUCAAUCAGGCUACAGGAUGUAUCAAAAAUGCCUUUUCUCACAUCUUCCUUGCAAACAGGACUCCAGGAUAGAAAAUUCAUUCCCAUCAGAAUGAGACAGGUAACAUGUGUUUCUCAACUUGGUGGAACAACAGACAGCAUCCUGGAGAGCUGCAGUAUUUCAAUCCAGUCACUAAACCACACAUUGGACUUCCUUCGCCUCUGCCUCUCUCUGAUAGCUAUUAGCUAAAGGAUCACAUAAAAAGCAGAAGAGGCCUUGGACAGUUUGCUGUGGUUGGGACCAGAUAUCAGAAGUCUCCAUUCUGUUGGCAUCCUUGAUAGGAUGCUGAGGGACCUUCAGAGAAGGAUAAAGUCCCUGCCUUGUUUCUAGGCUUCCCUGCCUAGAACAACAUUUGGAAAGCAACAAUGACCAAAAAGGAAACAGAACCCAAGGCAAGAAGAACUGGAUGGAUAAGGACACCCAAAUGGUCCAAAUGAGUUUGAAACUCAAAUACCAGACAAGUUGUACCCAGUUCAGAGGACCCUUCCUUGCAGAGCCUUUGAAGAAAGUCUGAUCCAUAAGAGUUGGGCUAGAAGAAAGGCAUGUUUUGAAGCCGGGUUGGGGUGAGUGGAGUAGAGGAUCUCUCUAACAGCUACAAGCUGAUUCCAGAGAUAAUAAAUGAGACAGAUUAUAAGGGAAUGAGCCUGGUGAUGCCUGGGUGCCAGCCUCGCCUCCAUAAAAAGGAAAAAGCCAGAUAAAUACCAGUCACUUCUUUCCAGGUAAAAACUACACAGAGGGGGCAUAGUAAAAGUGGAGCAGACAAGAGGGACCUCAGCAAAGAAUUCUGGACAUGAUUAUUAUGACCAUAAGGCAAAAACCAGUACUAGAUCAACUGGCUGACUGGCAGUCAUGUAUUAGUUAGAGGAAAAAAAAUUAUUUCUUGGUCUUACCUCAGUAAUCUUUGACCAACAACAAAAGUAUUCUUAUCAAAACUGUCCCUGGAGACUGGAGAGAUGUUUCAGUGGUAAAGAACAGUGGUUGCUUUUCCAGAGACCCUGGGUUCAAUUCCCAGCAUCCACAUGGCAACUCAACACUCCAGUUCCAGAGGAUUGGACACCCUCAUAAAGACAUAUAUGCAGGCAAAACACCAGUGCACAUAAAAUGAAAAAUAAGGAUAAAUAAAUCAUCUUU